This 2233-nucleotide long non-coding RNA is filed under the name Lactuca sativa (garden lettuce). Its description in RNAcentral is "long non-coding RNA (LSAT_LNC002427)". Lineage: Eukaryota; Viridiplantae; Streptophyta; Magnoliopsida; Asterales; Asteraceae. The record is from RNAcentral.
UUAAACUUCACUCAUCUAAUCCACAAUCUCGUGAAGCCUCACUCUUCUUCUUGUGCUUCUUUUCUGGCGAACCAACGCAAUUACCUCACUCUCCUCCAUCUUUGUUGUCUGCUAUGCACGGGAAUCCAUCCCACCCAUUCUUUCUCCGACAUGAACAACCCUAAGGUUACCAGAGCAAUUUUUAGAUGUUGUAUUACUAGCAACACUGAUGUGUACUAAAUCAGAGCAUAGAUUCCAAAUCAAAGUUUUUAGUUUAGUUUGAAUCUGAACCUGCAUUGGAGCCACCACUUGCAACCUAGAUUUGAUGACGAUUUCCCAUUGCAAGAUCUUGGUGUAUUUCACCAUCAGAGUAACUCAAACCGAGAAAUAGAAGCGAGAGUAAUGACGAGGGGUGGUUGACGGGGAUGUUAUAGCCGGCCAGUGGGAGCGACGGCGGUGCAGGUAGGUGUGUACGUGUAUGUGUGUGUGUGUGUGUUUUUUAAUCAUCUACAAUUCUUUUAGCUCGUUCAAGCUCUUUCUAGGCUAAAUGGAGCUUUGUCUACUUCAACUACAACCUCAGUGUCCAUAAACAUUAAAGCUACAGGAUUUGGUGGGUCUAAACUCUAGUACCCAAGUUCAACUUGCUCUUGGAGUGUAGAUUCGAAAUCGGAGUUUGUUUAGUUCGAAUAUGCACUGAUCGUCGAAUUAAGUAGCUUUUUCUAGGAGGGUGUUCAAUCCAUCAUCAUAAACUCAUAGUGGGGGAAACAAUGAAAUCAAUUAGGUUUUAGUCUAUUGAUUAUUGGUGUGGGUUCUCUUGGAUAUGAGUAUCUCAGGAAGGAAUGAGGUUUGCGAGUUUAAGGGAGGAAGACCAAAAAGAAAAAGAAAAAGAAAAUGGAGAGAGAGAGACUUUUACUUUUUUAAUUAGUUAAAUAAAUAAAUAAGUAUUUAAAUUUUAAAAAAAUGAAAGAAAUAAAAAAUAAAUAAUCCAAAGGUUUACAGUUUUUUUAUUAUUCAAAGGGACCAAAAAACACAAUGAAACUAGCUCAAAAUGACUACGAAACCAAAAAAGUCAAAGUUUGAAUUAAAACCUCAAAAAAAUACAUACUACAUCGACCAUUUUUGCAAAUUUGAAGUUAUGAAAAUUUGUCUAGUAAAUAUGUGUGUAUUUUUAUGGUGGUUGGGUUGUUUAAAGUUGUCGGCUUUUAAAACAUCUAAAAUUGUAAUUGUAUUUCUUUAUUUCAUCCUUGUUUUAGCGAUUUGCUAAUAGUGAUGAUUGUUUUAUUUAUAAUAUUUUACGGUUUUAAAAAAGAAAAAAAAUUCAAUUUUUACACGUAAAAAGUAUAAAAAUUUGUAGAAAUAUCAGAAAACAGUAAACAUGUUUAUGUUGUGUAUCAAAGAUUUCAAGUUUCAAUUUCAAAAAAUAUUGGUAUUAAGGCUCUAAAUAACAUAUGAACAAUGUCAAGCCUUAGGAUUUUUAUUAACCUUGACUAGCCACAUUGUUUGUAAGACGUAAUUUAAUAGUCAAUUUUAUAUAUAAUUAAUAUUUAUAUAGAUUUUCUACUAUUAUUUAUUUUUAAAAGAAUAUAAGACUUAAGGAGGUGACAUUUUAUUAAAAUUUAAGAGUAAAUACAGAUCUUGAAGUAAUAACCACAACUUUUUAAAACUUUAGAUAUUAAACUAUUAGGCAUCAUUUCCUUUUAAAAUUUCUUUUUCUUGUUGCAAAAAUAAACAAAUGUUUAUAUGGAGGGGGUGAAGGGGAAUUCGGAGAGAAUAUAUGUAGUCUAAAUGAGAUAUCACACCUUGAAGGGACCUGUGGAUGGGGUGUAGGUAGGGGACUGACGUUGUCCUUAAACAAAGUCACUAGUGAUAUUAUCUGAUCCGCAUUAAUUGUUUUACAUUUUGCAGUACCUUACGAAGUAUUAGUAGUACCCCAGGCCAUGAGUAUGUGUUACACGACUCUUAAAACACACACAUGGUCAAAAGGUGUGGAUAGCAAAUUGGCAUCAUGGAACUUGUACGGGGUCAGCUGUCGGUUUUCAUAAUUAAGGGUCCUGCUAUUGCUAUCCCCGAUUUUUUAGGUGUUAUAAAAUUUAGAGAAAAUUUCAAAAUUUGUCUGUGGUUUGUUUUUAUCCAUGAGUUAUUAAAAUUAGACAAAAAUUUAUAAAUGCUCUUUAUGGUUUUAUGGUUUUGUGUUUUCGUUGCUAUUUUUUUGUCAUAUAUGGAUGAUCCAGGUAAUUUUAAUUUUCCUAUGAAU